CCGAAACCAGGUGAUCUACCCUUGGUCAGGUUGAAGUUCAGGUAACACUGAAUGGAGGACCGAACCGACUUACGUUGAAAAGUGAGCGGAUGAACUGAGGGUAGCGGAGAAAUUCCAAUCGAACCUGGAGAUAGCUGGUUCUCUCCGAAAUAGCUUUAGGGCUAGCCUCAAGUGAUGAUUAUUGGAGGUAGAGCACUGUUUGGACGAGGGGCCCCUCUCGGGUUACCGAAUUCAGACAAACUCCGAAUGCCAAUUAAUUUAACUUGGGAGUCAGAACAUGGGUGAUAAGGUCCGUGUUCGAAAGGGAAACAGCCCAGACCACCAGCUAAGGUCCCAAAAUAUAUGUUAAGUGGAAAAGGAUGUGGCGUUGCCCAGACAACUAGGAUGUUGGCUUAGAAGCAGCCAUCAUUUAAAGAGUGCGUAAUAGCUCACUAGUCGAGUGACACUGCGCCGAAAAUGUACCGGGGCUAAACAUAUUACCGAAGCUGUGGAUUGUCCUUUGGACAAUGGUAGGAGAGCGUUCUAAGGGCGUUGAAGCAUGAUCGUAAGGACAUGUGGAGCGCUUAGAAGUGAGAAUGCCGGUGUGAGUAGCGAAAGACGGGUGAGAAUCCCGUCCACCGAUUGACUAAGGUUUCCAGAGGAAGGCUCGUCCGCUCUGGGUUAGUCGGGUCCUAAGCUGAGGCCGACAGGCGUAGGCGAUGGAUAACAGGUUGAUAUUCCUGUACCACCUAUAAUCGCUUUAAUCGAUGGGGGGACGCAGUAGGAUAGGCGAAGCGUGCGAUUGGAUUGCACGUCUAAGCAGUAAGGCUGAGUAUUAGGCAAAUCCGGUACUCGUUAAGGCUGAGCUGUGAUGGGGAGAAGACAUUGUGUCUUCGAGUCGUUGAUUUCACACUGCCGAGAAAAGCCUCUAGAUAGAAAAUAGGUGCCCGUACCGCAAACCGACACAGGUAGUCAAGAUGAGAAUUCUAAGGUGAGCGAGCGAACUCUCGUUAAGGAACUCGGCAAAAUGACCCCGUAACUUCGGGAGAAGGGGUGCUCUUUAGGGUUAACGCCCAGAAGAGCCGCAGUGAAUAGGCCCAAGCGACUGUUUAUCAAAAACACAGGUCUCUGCUAAACCGUAAGGUGAUGUAUAGGGGCUGACGCCUGCCCGGUGCUGGAAGGUUAAGAGGAGUGGUUAGCUUCUGCGAAGCUACGAAUCGAAGCCCCAGUAAACGGCGGCCGUAACUAUAACGGUCCUAAGGUAGCGAAAUUCCUUGUCGGGUAAGUUCCGACCCGCACGAAAGGCGUAACGAUUUGGGCACUGUCUCAACGAGAGACUCGGUGAAAUCAUAGUACCUGUGAAGAUGCAGGUUACCCGCGACAGGACGGAAAGACCCCGUGGAGCUUUACUGUAGCCUGAUAUUGAAAUUCGGCACAGCUUGUACAGGAUAGGUAGGAGCCUUUGAAACGUGAGCGCUAGCUUACGUGGAGGCGCUGGUGGGAUACUACCCUAGCUGUGUUGGCUUUCUAACCCGCACCACUUAUCGUGGUGGGAGACAGUGUCAGGCGGGCAGUUUGACUGGGGCGGUCGCCUCCUAAAAGGUAACGGAGGCGCUCAAAGGUUCCCUCAGAAUGGUUGGAAAUCAUUCAUAGAGUGUAAAGGCAUAAGGGAGCUUGACUGCGAGACCUACAAGUCGAGCAGGGUCGAAAGACGGACUUAGUGAUCCGGUGGUUCCGCAUGGAAGGGCCAUCGCUCAACGGAUAAAAGCUACCCCGGGGAUAACAGGCUUAUCUCCCCCAAGAGUUCACAUCGACGGGGAGGUUUGGCACCUCGAUGUCGGCUCAUCGCAUCCUGGGGCUGUAGUCGGUCCCAAGGGUUGGGCUGUUCGCCCAUUAAAGCGGUACGCGAGCUGGGUUCAGAACGUCGUGAGACAGUUCGGUCCCUAUCCGUCGUGGGCGUAGGAAAUUUGAGAGGAGCUGUCCUUAGUACGAGAGGACCGGGAUGGACAUACCUCUGGUGUACCAGUUGUCGUGCCAACGGCAUAGCUGGGUAGCUAUGUGUGGACGGGAUAAGUGCUGAAAGCAUCUAAGCAUGAAGCCCCCCUCAAGAUGAGAUUUCCCAACUUCGGUUAUAAGAUCCCUCAAAGAUGAUGAGGUUAAUAGGUUCGAGGUGGAAGCAUGGUGACAUGUGGAGCUGACGAAUACUAAUCGAUCGAAGAC
This 2199-nucleotide ribosomal RNA is filed under the name Staphylococcus aureus. RNAcentral's name for it is "partial 23S ribosomal RNA". It matches the Rfam family "Bacterial large subunit ribosomal RNA", at positions 715 to 2925 of the family's 2925-position model. The record is from RNAcentral. Lineage: Bacteria; Bacillati; Bacillota; Bacilli; Caryophanales; Staphylococcaceae.